Molecule: ribosomal RNA, 366 nt
Filed under: uncultured bacterium
Lineage: Bacteria
Description: partial 16S ribosomal RNA
Rfam family: Bacterial small subunit ribosomal RNA
Source: RNAcentral
CCUACGGGAGGCAGCAGUGAGGAAUAUUGGUCAAUGGACGAGAGUCUGAACCAGGCAAGUAGCGUGAAGGAUGACUGCCCUAUGGGUUGUAAACUUCUGUUAUAGGGGAAUAAAAUGUGCCACGUGUGGGAUUUUGUAUGUACCAUAUGAAUAAGGAUCGGCUAACUCCGUGCCAGCAGCCGCGGUAAUACGGAGGAACCGAGCGUUAUCCGGAUUUAUUGGGGUGAAAGGGAGCGUAGUUGGAUUGUUAAGUCAGUUGUGCAAGUUUGCGGCUCAACCGUAAAAUUGCAGUUGAAACUGGCAGUCUUGCGUACAGUAGAGGUGGGCGGACUUCGUGGUGUAGCGGUGACAUGCUUAGCUAUCACG